Long non-coding RNA from Camelina sativa (false flax), 716 nucleotides. RefSeq lists it as uncharacterized. The record is from RefSeq and is a predicted model, not a curated record. Lineage: Eukaryota; Viridiplantae; Streptophyta; Magnoliopsida; Brassicales; Brassicaceae.
GGGUACGUUCAUAGGACCUUUCAAACUUUAUCUGUUUCUAAACUAUUCUCACUUUGGAGCCACGAUUUACCUUCUUCUCAACUGCUCAGGAUCCAACAUAAAUAAACCCUCUCCAUUAACAAUUUAUUGAUGAUCUAUAAUUUGUUUUAUCUCUUCCACACUUCUCACUUAUCUAAUGAAACAAUUAUUUUAUUCUUUUCUGUAUAAGUAUGAAUCAUCUUCAUCUAUUCAACGCUCAAACAUCUUGCUAAUAACUGGAUUAUGGUUGCAGAGUUUGAAAGGUGUCGGAGGUAAGUACAGUGUAGUCAUGUUGGAGAGAUUCAAAUGGCCUUGACUCUUAGAGACAUGGUUUUCAGAAAUUUGGGAAUUUUUUUGAUCUUCCCAUGACGAGCCUCUUUCUCGAGUGGAAGCCACUUGACUUGAAUUGAAAACUCUAUUACUCAUUAAUAAAUAAAAGAAGAGUGAGAAAGAAGAGACUGGAGAAGCAAGCUACAGAAGAGGAAUAAGCAAGAAAAAUCUGAAACAUGUGUCACUCAUAUGUUCAUUAAAAGGUCACAGCUAAACCUUUUGUCCAUUUAGACUACAGAUACAAAUAUUUUUAUUUUGUUGUCAAUUAUUUGUUGCACAAAAUAAAUGCUGUCAACUAUUUUUUUCUAUUUUUGUUGAGUGUUUUGUGAAUUUAUUUUAAUUAUGAAAUUGCAUAUUGUUAAAUACUA